RNAcentral lists this ribosomal RNA (254 nucleotides) under uncultured bacterium. RNAcentral's name for it is "partial 16S ribosomal RNA". It matches the Rfam family "Bacterial small subunit ribosomal RNA", at positions 524 to 776 of the family's 1533-position model. The record is from RNAcentral.
CACGUAGGGGGCAAGCGUUGUCCGGAUUCAUUGGGCGUAAAGAGCUCGUAGGCGGUUCGAUAAGUCGGGUGUGAAACCUCCAGGCUCAACCUGGAGACGCCACCCGAUACUGUCGUGACUAGAGUCCAGUAGGGGAGCGUGGAAUUCCUGGUGUAGCGGUGAAAUGCGCAGAUAUCAGGAGGAACACCAGCGGCGAAGGCGGCGCUCUGGGCUGGCACUGAGGCUGAGGAGCGAAAGCGUGGGGAGCGAACAGG